UACUACCUAGUGACCGAUAGUGAACCAGUACCGUGAGGGAAAGGUGAAAAGCACCCCGGGAGGGGAGUGAAAUAGAACCUGAAACCGUGUGCCUACAACAAGUUAGAGCCCGUUAAUGGGUGAUAGCGUGCCUUUUGUAGAAUGAACCGGCGAGUUACGAUUGCAUGCGAGGUUAAGUUGAAGAGACGGAGCCGUAGCGAAAGCGAGUCUGAAUAGGGCGAUAGAGUAUGUAGUCGUAGACCCGAAACCAUGUGAUCUACCCAUGUCCAGGUUGAAGGUGCGGUAAAACGCACUGGAGGACCGAACCAGGACACGUUAAAAAGUGUUUGGAUGAGGUGUGGGUAGCGGAGAAAUUCCAAACGAACUUGGAGAUAGCUGGUUCUCUCCGAAAUAGCUUUAGGGCUAGCCUCGGAAGUAAGAAUGAUGGAGGUAGAGCACUGUUUGGACUAGGGGCCCAUCUCGGGUUACCGAAUUCAGAUAAACUCCGAAUGCCAUUCAUUUAUAUCCGGGAGUCAGACUGCGAGUGAUAAGAUCCGUAGUCGAAAGGGAAACAGCCCAGAUCACCAGUUAAGGUCCCCAAAUCUAUGCUAAGUGGAAAAGGAUGUGGAGUUGCGUAGACAACUAGGAUGUUGGCUUAGAAGCAGCCACCAUUUAAAGAGUGCGUAAUAGCUCACUAGUCGAGUGGCGCUGCGCCGAAAAUUUACCGGGGCUAAGCAUAGUACCGAAACUGUGGAUGUACGUAAGUACGUGGUAGGAGAGCGUUCUAAGUGCGGCGAAGGUUAACCGAGAGGAUAAUUGGAGCGCUUAGAAGUGAGAAUGCCGGUAUGAGUAGCGAAAGAUAGGUGAGAAUCCUAUCCGCCGAAAGACUAAGGUUUCCUGGGGCAGGCUCGUCCGCCCAGGGUAAGUCGGGACCUAAGGCAAGGCCGAGAGGCGUAGUCGAUGGAUAACAGGUAGAGAUUCCUGUACUGUGUUCAAUCGUUAAGAGCGAAGGAGGGACGCAGGAGGUGAAGCACGCAUCGCGAUGGAACGAUGUUCAAGCGACAAGUGCGGUUAAGAGUCAAAUGCUUCUAACCAGCAACACGAGUCGUGAUGAGGAGCGAAGUAAAAGUAGCGAAGGUGUGGUAGUCACACUGCCAAGAAAAGCUUCUAGCCAGAGAGAACAUACCCGUACCGCAAACCGACACAGGUAGUCGAGUGGAGAACACUCAGGUGAGCGAGAGAACUCUCGUUAAGGAACUCGGCAAAAUGACCCCGUAACUUCGGGAGAAGGGGUGCUGAUAGUAAAAUAUCAGCCGCAGUGAAUAGGCCCAAACAACUGUUUAUCAAAAACACAGGUAUCUGCAAAAUCGUAAGAUGACGUAUAGGUGCUGACACCUGCCCGGUGCUGGAAGGUUAAGAGGAGAGCUUAGCGUGAGCGAAG
RNAcentral lists this ribosomal RNA (1420 nucleotides) under Corethron hystrix. Its description in RNAcentral is "partial Bacterial large subunit ribosomal RNA". It matches the Rfam family "Bacterial large subunit ribosomal RNA", at positions 471 to 1904 of the family's 2925-position model. Lineage: Eukaryota; Bacillariophyta; Corethrophyceae; Corethrales; Corethraceae. The record is from RNAcentral.